GUCUCUGUGGUGCAAUUGGCUGGUGCUUUCGGCUGUUAACCGAAAGGUUGGUGGUUCAAGCCCACCCAGGGAUG
Molecule: transfer RNA, 74 nt
Filed under: Takifugu rubripes (torafugu)
Lineage: Eukaryota; Metazoa; Chordata; Actinopteri; Tetraodontiformes; Tetraodontidae
Also listed under: 2 other names
Description: tRNA-Asn (GTT) (tRNA-Asn-GTT-14-1)
Rfam family: tRNA
About the family: Transfer RNA (tRNA) molecules are approximately 80 nucleotides in length. Their secondary structure includes four short double-helical elements and three loops (D, anti-codon, and T loops).
Source: Rfam by way of RNAcentral